Molecule: ribosomal RNA, 87 nt
Filed under: Trypethelium subeluteriae
Lineage: Eukaryota; Fungi; Ascomycota; Dothideomycetes; Trypetheliales; Trypetheliaceae
Description: partial 18S rRNA
Source: RNAcentral
UCCGUAGGUGAGUAAUCGAAAUCCUUCUCUUCAAACCACUUUGUAUCUUACUAACUUUCUAAAGGUGAACCUGCGGAGGGAUCAUUA